ACAAUGACAAUUUUGAAUUUCAAAUUUUGAGAGUCCCAAUGUCUAAUGGUUUUCUAUUUCACUCAAGAGUGAUUGUAUUUUCUCCUUUUCAUUUCGUCGGUGCACCCAUCGUUCCCCACCACUCCUCUCUGGUUUUUUUUUCCUUUCUAUUUUUAAAUUUUGAUGGGGAGCUUCUACCCAACUCUUCCUCUUCUACCGAGCAUGAGAAAAAGAAGCUGGUGAGUAUGGAUUGGAUGGGGAAGUUGAUAAAGAAAGUAACGGAUAGCAAAGAUGAGGCGUCAUAGAUGAGGAAAAGAGUGACGGAGAAGGUGAAGACGCCAUCGUGAAAGAAAGUGGGUCCUCACAGAAGAAUCUCACAUGGGACAUGGCUGAUUGAAGAUCAUUUCCCCUGCACUCUUAUCUGAGGUUUUGUUGUCAUUUCAGCCUGUCAUGACCACCUCUUCCAUCUAACACCAACAUUUAUAUAUGUGGCUAGUAUAUAAUUUUUCCUCCCUCAUCUUCUUUUCCCUAUUUCUUCUUCUCUUCUCUUUUUGAGUCUUUCAGAUCUCUUCGACUUCAUCUUAAGGGCUCCAAACAAGGAUUUGUUUGUUUGAUGCUAUGACCUUCUCGCCGAUGGAUUUAUUUGCCGCUCUGUGCGUGGCUCAUCGUCUUCCCUUCGGCAUCCUCUUCACUUUCCUAAUCCUCUUCGUAUUCCUCUUUUUCUCAUCUUUUUCUUUGGCUAAAUAAUACCAGGUGGACUUUGUAAUCUUUUAUGAAGUGGAUCAUUUUUUAGAUUUCAUAUGACAAGUUGAUGUGUCGGACAUACAAUGAUGGAGAGAAAGCCAUUCUAAGUUCCAUCCUGAAAGCAGGGGGCUGGGAAUAUUUAAUACUUACAAAAUGGACCAAACUUCAUUAUUAAUUAUGCUGCAGAAAACAAUUCAUCAAAACCUUUAAGUUGUUGAUGGGAAUGUGAUUUAUAUGUUUAGGUUUCUUUUGAAUCUGCCAGCCAGUUCGAUGAGUUGGCGGCUAAUCAUGUACCAAUUAAUUCCAGCAUUAUGCAGAAAAAGCCUGGCACUUCUAUAAGUAUUGAUGGUCAAAGACGUUGUAGAUGUAAAGAUCUAUGUAAAGAUAUGCAUAUACCACACGCAAGGUCCACUUCACAUUAAGUAGUGGAUCGUGCUUUUUUUGUUUCAUUUUUCUGUGAGGUUUGCUUUUUGGGGUUCCCUAGAUGUGGAAUGGUUAUGCAAUGUUCAUUGGGUGAUUGCCCAAACAUGUCGCAAACUAAAUUUCUAUGAUGAUUAGACAAGUUUCAAAGUA
Long non-coding RNA from Neltuma alba, 1296 nucleotides. RefSeq lists it as uncharacterized. The transcript is spliced from 2 exons. The record is from RefSeq and is a predicted model, not a curated record. NCBI's taxonomy places the organism in Eukaryota, Viridiplantae, Streptophyta, Magnoliopsida, Fabales, Fabaceae.